CAAAGCUUCAAUCUUUUUCCUCUGUGAACUCUUACCAAGAAGCACAAGAUACCAAGCCUGACUCCCGAGAACCGACAUCGAGUGAAGAUUGCCUCUGGGAUCCUCUGAUCAUCGUUAGGAAGCCUAGAGAAACGUAAACUAAACAAGCGCGAUGGAGGGUGUGGUCGUGAAAGAAGAGAAAGAGACGGUGACUUGUGCUGGAGGUUUCUCUUCUUCUUCCUCAUCUUCAAGCUUCCAACCGCAGCCGAUGGAGGGGCUGCACGAAGUUGGUCCUCCUCCCUUUCUGAACAAGACUUAUGAAAUGGUGGAAGACCCUUCAACGGAUUCCGUUGUUUCUUGGAGCAGAGCUCGCAACAGCUUUAUUGUUUGGGACUCUCAUAAUUUCUCCACUACUCUGCUUCCUAAGUAUUUCAAGCACAAUAACUUCUCCAGCUUCAUUCGCCAGCUUAACACUUAUGGAUUCAGAAAAGUUGAUCCUGAUCGAUGGGAAUUUGCAAAUGAAGGGUUUCUGAGAGGGCAGAAGCAUCUACUGAAGACCAUCAAAAGAAGAAGACAUGUUUCUCAAAGUAUGCAGCAGCAAAGUGAAGGACCUUGCGUUGAAGUUGGAGAGUUUGGAUUGGAAGGUGAGCUAGAGAGAUUAAAAAGAGAUAGAAGUGUGCUAAUGGCAGAAAUCGUGAGGCUUCGGCAUCAACAACAGCAGUCAAGGGAACAAAUAGCUGCAAUGGAGGAUAGGUUACAAAGUACAGAGAGAAAACAACAGCAGAUGAUGACAUUCCUUGCUAAGGCUCUCAACAAUCCAUCCUUUGUCCAGCAACUCUCUCGGAGGAGUAUGCAGAGGAGAGAACUGAGAGGUGUUGAAAUUGGGCGCAAGCGGAGACUCAUGGCAAGCCCAAGUUUAGAAAAUUUGCAAGAGGAAGCUGCUUCUAUGGCGAUUGGUGUUGGCCAAGUUGUGGAUUACACGAAUCAAGAAUUGGGAACUAUAGAAACGGAGAUAGAUACAUUGUUCUCCUUGGAUAAUGAAUCAAGCAGUGAUGUCGGGGAUCCAAUAGCAUGUUCUACACAAGGGACUGGCGUGGAUAAUUGGGGUUCUGUGAGUGAGACUAUUUGGGAGUUGCUGAAUGAUGAUGUAAUUGCUGGCAAUCCCAAUGAAGAAGUUAUCCCAGAUGAUGAACUGGAAUUUGAUGUAGAAGUUGAGGAUUUGGUUGCAAAACCUGAGGAUUGGGGUGAGGAAUUGCGAGACCUUGUGGAUCAAAUGGUUUAUCUAAGGUCCAAGCCAUGAUAUAACAGAAUGCUGUUAUGAAAUGGUUUUGAUAUUGUUCUCAGUUGCUCUCUGCAACUACAUUCCUGUUUUAAUAAUGGGAAUGUUGAAAGUUGCAGUGGGGCCAACAGAUGUUCCUGUUCUUCUGUAUCCUUUGAUGAUUGUCUAGUUUUUUCAACAUUUUCUACGAAAAUUUGUUUAAUUGAUUCUAACAAUUUGUGAUUCUAUUGAUUGUUCUGUACGACAUUUUGCAGGCAGGUGGAGCAAAGAGGAUCAUUAGGGAGGGGUUUCAAUUCCAGGCUAGUCUAAGGGGUCUUGGACUCUACCCUGCUGUCUGUCUAUACAUGUUUGAUGUUUCCUUUGCUCGAGGCUAUGCGAGUUUCUGCAAUGUUGUACAUAAGUAGAUAGAACAUAGUUUGGUAUAGUAAUUACUAAGUUGAAUGAAAUUACCAAUUAAAAUUGGCGGUGAAAAUUUCCCCCAUGACAAAUUUUUUCUAUUUUUUGCCCUCCAUUUAAUUGUAUUGAUCAGGAGACACAUUCAUACAUGUAUAGACAGACAGCAGGGUAGAGU
This 1829-nucleotide unclassified non-coding RNA is filed under the name Hevea brasiliensis (rubber tree). The record is from RNAcentral. Lineage: Eukaryota; Viridiplantae; Streptophyta; Magnoliopsida; Malpighiales; Euphorbiaceae.